Molecule: long non-coding RNA, 1180 nt
Filed under: Mus spicilegus (steppe mouse)
Lineage: Eukaryota; Metazoa; Chordata; Mammalia; Rodentia; Muridae
Description: lncRNA (ENSMSIG00000008213.1)
Source: RNAcentral
AUGUCAUUCAUGCGAUUACGGUGUGCAGUAGCAGAGGGGCCUGCCACAGAGCCAGAGCCUUCAACAUUUAAACAAAUCAAAAUGCACCCCACUAUCCUGAGUAGGACUAAGUCUCAAGUCCAGAGGGAUGAUGAUGGGCAACUACGGGACAGUGCCUCUGUGUCUCCAACUGCCAAGUGACCUUUGAGUGAAAGCCAUCCCACAAACACUUCCUGAGGAAGGUUUCAGGUGGCUCCUUUAUGUUUGGUCUUCAAAGAGAGUCAGUUGUAGAAAUGUCCCCAUGCAAGAGCGGGUUCAAAAGCUGACGCCCCUGAACAUUGGGAACACAUUGUCUAAAGAAAGCUGUGAUCUUGUAGGAACAAUUUUCUUUGCCUUGACAGAUUGGUAGGUUAGAGCCAAGUGUGCAGGCUGCUGCUGCCAAGGCCAACGGCUUCUCAUGUUUAUCUUCUCAUGCUUACCUUGUACCUAUCCCAGUUGAUUCACACAGAUGUUUCUUUUAUCAUUGUGUGUUAUCUGUUUUCCAGAAAUCAACUCAAUACAUUUUUGAAACAAAACAAAGCAGAUCAGUAAACACAAUGACAUAGAUAAGUAUUAGAAAAUGUGAGUGUUAUGGCUCUUAUGUUGAGGUUAGAGGUACAAAUACGAUUUCAAAAUGGACUUCAAUAGGAAAUAUAUUCAAUAUUUUUGAAGAAACAUCAAUGUCCUGAAAAUACAACUACAUAUACACACAAAUAUACACAUCUGUACAUACACAUACUCACAAACAAAUACACAUACACACACGCACACACACACACACACACACACACGUAUAUAUACACACUCAUGUGCACACAAACACACACACAUAUACACAUACACUCAGAGCAUGUGGCAAAGUAAGACUACAAGUUGUUGCUUCCAAUUUAUAAGUGAAAUUUACCAGAUGUUAGUUUUGAAACUAGUUGGAGUUAUAUGGUACUUAUUCCAGCCAAAACUGCUCUAAGAAGGCAAGAGCUUGGGACUUCCCAUGUUGUUGUUUGUUUAUUUCAAAAUGAUGUUUUAGGUUGAAAAUCAAGUUGUAAGGAAGUCAGCAAGAUGUAGGAUUAGGUGAAAGAGCCAUGCACUGGCAAAUGUCUAAAAGUCUUGAGUGACAGAUAUUCAAUAAGUGAAAUAAUCCUUGCAUGCCUUCAUUUUGCUC